UACGGGGGGGGCAAGCGUUGUUCGGAAUUACUGGGCGUAAAGGGCUCGUAGGCGGCCAACUAAGUCAGACGUGAAAUCCCUAGGCUCAACCUAGGAACUGCGUCUGAUACUGGAUGGCUUGAAUCCGGGAGAGGGAUGCAGAAUUCCAGGUGUAGCGGUGGAAUGCGCAGAUAUCAGGAGGAACACCUAUAGCGAAGGCAGCUUGCUGGGACGAUACUGACGCUAAGGCUCGAAAGCGUGGGGAGCGAACAGG
This 253-nucleotide ribosomal RNA is filed under the name uncultured bacterium. RNAcentral describes it as "partial 16S ribosomal RNA". It matches the Rfam family "Bacterial small subunit ribosomal RNA", at positions 524 to 776 of the family's 1533-position model. The record is from RNAcentral.